ACGGCUCAGUAACACGUGGAUAAUCUGCCCUUAGGUGGAGGAUAAUCUCGGGAAACUGAGGAUAAUACUCCAUAGAUCUAGAAUGCUGGAAUGCAUCUAGAUUAAAAGCUCCGGCGCCUAAGGAUGAGUCUGCGGACUAUCAGGUUGUAGUCAGGGUAAAGACCUGACUAGCCUACGACGGAUACGGGUUGUGAGAGCAAUAACCCGGAGACGAUAUCUGAGACACGAUAUCGGGCCCUACGGGGCGCAGCAGGCGCGAAAACUUCACACUGUGCGAAAGCACGAUGAGGGAAUCCCAAGUGUUUGCUCGUAAGAGUAAACUGUUUCUUUGUUUAAAAAGCAGAGAGAGUAAGGGCUGGGUAAGACGGGUGCCAGCCGCCGCGGUAAUACCUGCAGCUCAAGUGGUGAUCAUUAUUAUUGGGCCUAAAACGUCCGUAGCCGGUU
RNAcentral lists this ribosomal RNA (444 nucleotides) under uncultured archaeon. Its description in RNAcentral is "bacterial SSU rRNA". It matches the Rfam family "Archaeal small subunit ribosomal RNA", at positions 85 to 530 of the family's 1478-position model. The record is from RNAcentral.